ACGGAAGGCAGCAGUGGGGAAUAUUGGGCAAUGGGCGCAAGCCUGACCCAGCAAUGCCGCGUGAAGGAAGAAGGCCUUCGGGUUGUAAACUUCUUUUAUCAGGGACGAAUACAAUUGACGGUACCUGAAGAAUAAGCCACGGCUAACUACGUGCCAGCAGCCGCGGUAAUACGUAGGUGGCAAGCGUUAUCCGGAAUUACUGGGUGUAAAGGGAGCGCAGGCGGGAUAGCAAGUCAGCGGUGAAAAUUAUGGGCUUAACCCAUAAACUGCCGUUGAAACUGUUAUUCUUGAGUGGAGUAGAGGCAGGCGGAAUUCCGAGUGUAGCGGUGAAAUGCGUAGAUAUUCGGAGGAACACCAGUGGCGAAGGCGGCCUGCUGGGCUCUAACUGACGCUGAGGCUCGAAAGUGUGGGGAGCAAACAGGAUUAGAUACCCUGGUA
Molecule: ribosomal RNA, 438 nt
Filed under: uncultured Clostridium sp.
Lineage: Bacteria; Bacillati; Bacillota; Clostridia; Eubacteriales; Clostridiaceae
Description: partial 16S ribosomal RNA
Rfam family: Bacterial small subunit ribosomal RNA
Source: RNAcentral